UCCCUGGUGGUCUAGUGGUUAAGGAUCCAGCACUGUCACUGCUCUGGCACAGGUUUGAUCCCUGGCCCAGGAA
RNAcentral lists this transfer RNA (73 nucleotides) under Sus scrofa (pig). It matches the Rfam family "tRNA". From Rfam's summary of the family: Transfer RNA (tRNA) molecules are approximately 80 nucleotides in length. Their secondary structure includes four short double-helical elements and three loops (D, anti-codon, and T loops). Lineage: Eukaryota; Metazoa; Chordata; Mammalia; Artiodactyla; Suidae. The record is from Rfam by way of RNAcentral.